UUAAGUGCCACCNAUUUUUUUGCAUGCUCAAAUUCCUUUUUUUUUCUUCAGAGAAUAGUGAAAAUAUAGUCCUCCAAUACUCAAUUAUGCAUGAGCCUUGCCCUGGGAAAACUACCCUUCAGAUCAGGAUGUCUCCUUGCCACAAGCAGCUUGAAAGGUAUUGUGGAAGAAGAGCAGACAGUUUUGUAAAUGGAGGAGGAAGGAGGGGAGCAAAAAAAAAGUUUUUUGGAACAGUGAACAGUAUGCAAAAGUUUGAGAAUACUUUUCAAGGUAUAGAAAAGAUAGAUGGUUGACCAAAAAGCUGUGGCUUGCAUUAAAGGCUGGAAAAGUUGGUGAUUUAGAGCUCUUCUAAUUGUAGAUGUAGUCAGCUGCUGAGUAGAUGAUGUCUAGGAGGCCUUUCUUCUCUAGGUUAUCUGAUUUUGUAAAGUCUUUGCGUAUUUGUAAAGUAUUCCUUCAAGACAGGUGGCCUCUAUUUGUAAAGUCUUUGUAUCUUUGUAAGGUAUUCCUUCAAGACAGAUGAUCCCUAUUCCCUUAUCUAAUACACUAAGAGAGCCUUUAAAAUAGGCCUGUCUGGUCUUUUGAAAAGUGAUUAUGGCAAAAAAAGGAAG
Molecule: long non-coding RNA, 608 nt
Filed under: Anser brachyrhynchus (Pink-footed goose)
Lineage: Eukaryota; Metazoa; Chordata; Aves; Anseriformes; Anatidae
Description: lncRNA (ENSABRG00000018422.1)
Source: RNAcentral